Molecule: ribosomal RNA, 328 nt
Filed under: uncultured Marinobacter sp.
Lineage: Bacteria; Pseudomonadati; Pseudomonadota; Gammaproteobacteria; Pseudomonadales; Marinobacteraceae
Description: bacterial SSU rRNA
Rfam family: Bacterial small subunit ribosomal RNA
Source: RNAcentral
GGGGAUGACGUCAGGUCAUCAUGGCCUUACGGCCAGGGCUACACACGUGCUACAAUGGUGCGCACAGAGGGCUGCAAACCCGCGAGGGGGAGCCAAUCUCACAAAACGCAUCGUAGUCCGGAUCGCAGUCUGCAACUCGACUGCGUGAAGUCGGAAUCGCUAGUAAUCGUGAAUCAGAAUGUCACGGUGAAUACGUUCCCGGGCCUUGUACACACCGCCCGUCACACCAUGGGAGUGGAUUGCACCAGAAGUGGUUAGUCUAACUUCGGGAGGACGAUCACCACGGUGUGGUUCAUGACUGGGGUGAAGUCGUAACAAGGUAACCGUA